RNAcentral lists this ribosomal RNA (375 nucleotides) under uncultured bacterium. Its description in RNAcentral is "bacterial SSU rRNA". It matches the Rfam family "Bacterial small subunit ribosomal RNA", at positions 541 to 919 of the family's 1533-position model. The record is from RNAcentral.
ACUUUCAGAUUUUGGGUUUAAGGGUCCGUAGGCGGACUGAUAAGUCAGUGGUGAAAUCCGACAGCUUAACUGUCGAACUGCCAUUGAUACUGUUAGUCUUGAGUAAGGUUGAAGUGGCUGGAAUAAGUAGUGUAGCGGUGAAAUGCAUAGAUAUUACUUAGAACACCAAUUGCGAAGGCAGGUCACUAAGUCUUAACUGACGCUGAUGGACGAAAGCGUGGGGAGCGAACAGGAUUAGAUACCCUGGUAGUCCACGCCGUAAACGAUGAUUACUCGUUUUUGGGUUUUAUGAUUCAGAGACUAAGCGAAAGUGAUAAGUAAUCCACCUGGGGAGUACGUUCGCAAGAAUGAAACUCAAAGGAAAUUUGACGGGGG